GACGAACGCUGGCGGCGCGCUUAACACAUGCAAGUCGAACGGAAAGGCCUGCUUUCCCUUGUGGAUUGCGGGUACUCGAGUGGCGAACGGGUGAGUAACACGUGAGUGAUCUGCCCCCAACUUGGGUAUAAGCCUGGGAAACAGGGUCUAAUUCCCGAUAGGACUGCAGGGUGGGGCCGGUGGUGGAAAACGAUUUUCUAGUGGUUGGGGAUGAGCUCGCGGCCUAUCAGCUUGUUGGUGGGGUAAUGGACUACCAAGGCGGCGACGGGUAGCCGGCCUGAGAGGGUGGACGGUGACAUUGGGACUGCGUUACGGCCCAGACUCCUACGGGAGGCAGCAGUUGGGCAUAUUGCACAAUGGGCGGAAGCCUGAUGCAGCGACGCCGCGUGGGGGAUGACGGCCUUCGGGUUGUAUACUCCUUUCGACCGCGAGGAAGCCACCUGGUUGGAAGGGUGGUGACGGUAGUGGUAGAAGAAGCACCGGCUAACUACGUG
Molecule: ribosomal RNA, 494 nt
Filed under: uncultured bacterium
Lineage: Bacteria
Description: partial 16S ribosomal RNA
Rfam family: Bacterial small subunit ribosomal RNA
Source: RNAcentral